UACAGAGGUCUCAAGCGUUGUUCGGAUUCAUUGGGCGUAAAGGGUGUGUAGGUGGCGCGCUAAGUCGGGUGUGAAAUUUCGGAGCUUAACUCCGAAACUGCAUUCGAUACUGGCGUGCUUGAGGACUGGAGAGGAGACUGGAAUUUACGGUGUAGCAGUGAAAUGCGUAGAUAUCGUAAGGAAGACCAGUGGCGAAGGCGGGUCUCUGGACAGUUCCUGACACUGAGACACGAAGGCCAGGGGAGCAAACGGGA
This 254-nucleotide ribosomal RNA is filed under the name uncultured prokaryote. Its description in RNAcentral is "partial 16S ribosomal RNA". It matches the Rfam family "Bacterial small subunit ribosomal RNA", at positions 524 to 777 of the family's 1533-position model. The record is from RNAcentral.